RNAcentral lists this ribosomal RNA (478 nucleotides) under uncultured bacterium. Its description in RNAcentral is "bacterial SSU rRNA". It matches the Rfam family "Bacterial small subunit ribosomal RNA", at positions 28 to 500 of the family's 1533-position model. The record is from RNAcentral.
GAUGAACGCUAGCGGGAGGCUUAAUACAUGCAAGUCGAGCGGCAAGUUUUGAUAGCAAUAUUGGAACCUAGAGCGGCGCACGGGUGAGUAACGCGUACAUGACCUGGCCCUAUACUGGGGGAUAGUCUUGGGAAACUGAGAAUAAUCCCGCAUGUGAUUAGAAUGCUGCAUGGCAAAUUAAUUAAAGCUGAGGCGGUAUAGGAUGGGUGUGCGUCUGAUUAGCUAGUUGGUAGUGUAACGGACUACCAAGGCGAUGAUCAGUAGGGGGCGUGAGAGCGUGACCCCCCACACGGGUACUGAGACACGGACCCGACUCCUACGGGAGGCAGCAGUAAGGAAUAUUGGUCAAUGGAGGGAACUCUGAACCAGCCAUCCCGCGUGAAGGAUGAAGGGGCUCUGCCUUGUAAACUUCUUUUGCAUGGGACGAAAAAACUUAUUAUUAAGGACUGACGGUACCAUGAGAAUAAGCACCGGCUAA